CACUUCGGCAGGUUGAAAUAUGUACAUGUGAGUGUGGACACCUUUUCCGGGGCAGUCUUCGCUUCUGCCCACACAGGGGAGAAGACCAAGGACGUGGGCAGAUUGGAAGAG
Non-coding RNA from Sturnus vulgaris (Common starling), 111 nucleotides. NCBI's taxonomy places the organism in Eukaryota, Metazoa, Chordata, Aves, Passeriformes, Sturnidae. The record is from RefSeq and is a predicted model, not a curated record.